RNAcentral lists this ribosomal RNA (291 nucleotides) under uncultured bacterium. RNAcentral describes it as "partial 16S ribosomal RNA". It matches the Rfam family "Bacterial small subunit ribosomal RNA", at positions 336 to 643 of the family's 1533-position model. The record is from RNAcentral.
CUCCUACGGGGGGCAGCAGUGGGGAAUAUUGCACAAUGGGGGAAACCCUGAUGCAGCAACGCCGCGUGAGUGAAGAAGUAUUUCGGUAUGUAAAGCUCUAUCAGCAGGGAAGAAGAAAGACGGUACCUGACUAAGAAGCCCCGGCUAACUACGUGCCAGCAGCCGCGGUAAUACGUAGGGGGCAAGCGUUAUCCGGAUUUACUGGGUGUAAAGGGCGUGUAGGCGGGGAAGAAAGUCAGAUGGGAAAAUCCAGGGCUCAACCCUGGAACUGCAUUUGAAACUGUUUUUCUU